This 440-nucleotide ribosomal RNA is filed under the name uncultured bacterium. RNAcentral describes it as "partial 16S ribosomal RNA". It matches the Rfam family "Bacterial small subunit ribosomal RNA", at positions 339 to 795 of the family's 1533-position model. The record is from RNAcentral.
CUACGGGUUGCUCCAGUGAGGAAUAUUGCACAAUGGGGGGAACCCUGAUGCAGCAACGCCGCGUGGAGGAUGACGCAUUUCGGUGUGUAAACUCCUUUUAUAUGUCAAGAAAAUGACGGUAGCAUAUGAAUAAGCACCGGCGUAACUCCGUGCCAGCAGCCGCGGUAAUACGGAGGGUGCAAGCGUUACUCGGAAUCACUGGGCGUAAAGGACGCGUAGGCGGGUUGAAAAGUCAGGUGUGAAAUCCUACAGCUUAACUGUAGAACUGCACUUGAAACUUCUAAUCUAGAGUAUGGGAGGGGGAGAUGGAAUUAGUGGUGUAGGGGUAAAAUCCGUAGAUAUCACUAGGAAUACCUAAAGCGAAGGCGAUCUCCUGGAACAUUACUGACGCUAAGGCGUGAAAGCGUGGGGAGCAAACAGGAUUAGAUACCCUAGUAGUC